UGCGUAGGCGGUCCUGUAAGUAUGGUGUGAAAUCUCCCGGCUUAACCGGGAGGGUGCGCUAUAGACUGCGGGACUAGAGUGUGGGAGAGGAAAGUGGAAUUCCUGGUGUAGCGGUGAAAUGCGUAGAUAUCAGGAGGAACACCGGCGGUGUAAACGGCUUUCUGGACCAUAACUGACGCUGAGGCACGAAAGCGUGGGUAGCAAACAGGAUUAGAUACCCUGGUAGUCCACGCCCUAAACGAUGCAUAUUUGGUGUGGGCCAUUCAGUUGGUCCGUGCCGGAGCUAACGCGUUAAAUAUGCCGCCUGGGGAGUACAGUCGCAAGGCUGAA
RNAcentral lists this ribosomal RNA (330 nucleotides) under uncultured bacterium. RNAcentral describes it as "bacterial SSU rRNA". It matches the Rfam family "Bacterial small subunit ribosomal RNA", at positions 568 to 898 of the family's 1533-position model. The record is from RNAcentral.